RNAcentral lists this transfer RNA (75 nucleotides) under Promethearchaeota archaeon. Its description in RNAcentral is "Candidatus Lokiarchaeota archaeon (marine sediment metagenome) tRNA-Arg". It matches the Rfam family "tRNA". Rfam says of the family: Transfer RNA (tRNA) molecules are approximately 80 nucleotides in length. Their secondary structure includes four short double-helical elements and three loops (D, anti-codon, and T loops). The record is from RNAcentral. Lineage: Archaea; Promethearchaeati; Promethearchaeota. RNAcentral also lists the same sequence under 1 other name.
GAGCACGUGGCUUAGCUUGGAUAGAGCACCUGCCUCCGGAGCAGGAAAUCGAGGGUUCAAAUCCCCCCGUGCUCG